CCUACGGGGGGCAGCAGUGGGGAAUAUUGCACAAUGGGGGAAACCCUGAUGCAGCAACGCAGCGUGAAGGAAGACGGUUUUCGGAUUGUAAACUUCUGUUCUUAGUGAAGAAUAAUGACGGUAGCUAAGGAGCAAGCCACGGCUAACUACGUGCCAGCAGCCGCGGUAAUAUGUAGGUGGCAAGCGUUGUCCGGAAUUACUGGGUGUAAAGGGUGCGCAGGCGGGAAGCCAAGUCAGCUGUGAAAACUACGGGGUUAACUUGUAGAUUGCAGUUGAAACUGGUUUUCUUGAGUGAAGUAGAGGUUGGCGGAAUUCCGAGUGUAGCGGUGAAAUGCGUAGAUAUUCGGAGGAACACCGGUGGCGAAGGCGGCCAACUGGGCUUUAACUGACGCUGAGGCUCGAAAGUGUGGGGAGCAAACAGGAUUAGAUACCCCUGUAGUC
Molecule: ribosomal RNA, 441 nt
Filed under: uncultured bacterium
Lineage: Bacteria
Description: partial 16S ribosomal RNA
Rfam family: Bacterial small subunit ribosomal RNA
Source: RNAcentral